CUCUCCGAUCCUCCUCUCCUCCCAUUUGGCAAGAGCUGCGCGGCUGGUCUCAUCAGGAGAGAUAACCUUGAUAAUAUACAAUGUUCCCUUAGAGAUGGCUACCAGAAAUUAAACCUAAUGGCUGCACAUGCCGCAGCUCUUGCUGUUCGGUGUAGUGCUCAAAAUGUGGUCACAGCCAGCUUGGGCUUCGAUUUUUCUUUUUACAUAUAUUUUUG
Molecule: non-coding RNA, 215 nt
Organism: Pelobates cultripes (western spadefoot toad)
Lineage: Eukaryota; Metazoa; Chordata; Amphibia; Anura; Pelobatidae
Source: the annotation of a GenBank genome assembly